GCAUUUGGUACCUCUUAUUUGAGAAACCUAAACCACCUUGAAAAGAAAGAUAAAUACCUAUGUUUGCAGAGUUGCCUUUGUCUCCACUUCUAGUAUAGGCAAGAUCUUCUAAGCGGUAAGUAUGGUGACCACUUGGCAGAUCUUUCAAUUCACUGUUAAUCCUGGGUGGAUCAAAGGAAACAGCCUCAUCUGAUGUAAAUGUGAGAUCCUCCUCAAAUG
RNAcentral lists this long non-coding RNA (219 nucleotides) under Gallus gallus (chicken). The record is from RNAcentral. Lineage: Eukaryota; Metazoa; Chordata; Aves; Galliformes; Phasianidae.